This 198-nucleotide ribosomal RNA is filed under the name uncultured bacterium. Its description in RNAcentral is "partial 16S ribosomal RNA". It matches the Rfam family "Bacterial small subunit ribosomal RNA", at positions 1303 to 1500 of the family's 1533-position model. The record is from RNAcentral.
GGCUGAAAUUCGCCUUCAUGAAGCCGGAAUUGCUAGUAAUGGCAGGUCAGCAUACUGCCGUGAAUACGUUCCCGGGCCUUGUACACACCGCCCGUCACACCAUGAGAGUUGGGAAUACCCGAAGCCUGUGAGCCAACUGUAAGGAGGCAGCAGUCGAAGGUAGAAUCAAUGAUUGGGGUGAAGUCGUAACAAGGUAGC